RNAcentral lists this ribosomal RNA (253 nucleotides) under uncultured bacterium. RNAcentral's name for it is "partial 16S ribosomal RNA". It matches the Rfam family "Bacterial small subunit ribosomal RNA", at positions 524 to 776 of the family's 1533-position model. The record is from RNAcentral.
UACGGAGGAUGCAAGCGUUAUCCGGAUUUAUUGGGCGUAAAGCGUCCGUAGGUGGUUCAUCAAGUCUGCUGUCAAAGCGCGAGGCUUAACUUCGUACAGGCAGUGGAAACUGGUGGACUUGAGAGUGAUAGGGGCAGAGGGAAUUCCCAGUGUAGCGGUGAAAUGCGUAGAGAUUGGGAAGAACACCGGUGGCGAAAGCGCUCUGCUGGGUCAUAUCUGACACUGAGGGACGAAAGCUAGGGGAGCGAAUGGG